Molecule: transfer RNA, 89 nt
Filed under: Medicago truncatula (barrel medic)
Lineage: Eukaryota; Viridiplantae; Streptophyta; Magnoliopsida; Fabales; Fabaceae
Rfam family: tRNA
About the family: Transfer RNA (tRNA) molecules are approximately 80 nucleotides in length. Their secondary structure includes four short double-helical elements and three loops (D, anti-codon, and T loops).
Source: Rfam by way of RNAcentral
CCGACCUUAGCUCAGUUGGUAGAGCGGAGGACUGUAGUGGUUGAACCUCGGGAAUCCUUAGGUCGCUGGUUCGAAUCCGGCAGGUCGGA